CCUACGGGAGACAGCAGUGGGGAAUAUUGCACAAUGGGGGAAACCCUGAUGCAGCGACGCCGCGUGAGUGAAGAAGUAUUUCGGUACGUAAAGCUCUAUCAGCAGGGAAGAAAAAAAGUCCUUUGGACUUUGGACGGUACCUGAAGAAGAAGCCCCGGCUAACUACGUGCCAGUAGCCGCGGUAAUACGUAGGGGGCAAGCGUCAUCCGGAUUUACUGGGUGUAAAGGGGGCGCAGCCGGCGAUGCAAGCCAGAAGUGAAAGCCCGGGGCCCAACCCCGGGACUGCUCUUGAAACUGCGUGGGUGGAGUGCAGGAGGGGCAGGCGGAAUUCCUGGUGUAGCGGUGAAAUGCGUAGAUAUCAGGAGGAACACCGGUGGCGAAGGCGGCCUGCUGGACUGCAACUGACGUUGAGGCCCGAAAGCGUGGGGAGCAAACAGGAUUAGAUACCCCAGUAGUC
Molecule: ribosomal RNA, 457 nt
Filed under: uncultured bacterium
Lineage: Bacteria
Description: partial 16S ribosomal RNA
Rfam family: Bacterial small subunit ribosomal RNA
Source: RNAcentral